GAGCUUAAUCCCGUGUUCAGGGCUGCCAAUCUCUCUAGUGAGCAUCUUCAGGUGGCCUGUGAAGAACUCCAGUGUGUCUGUUGCUCCCAGAGUCGGGGUUUCACCGUGUUAGCCAGGAUGGUCUCGAUUUCCUGACCUCGUGAUCCACCCACCUCGGCCUCCCAAAGUGCUCAGAUUACAGGGAACUACAUCUUUAUGAAGUUGACUUCUCCUAUU
Molecule: long non-coding RNA, 216 nt
Organism: Gorilla gorilla gorilla (western lowland gorilla)
Lineage: Eukaryota; Metazoa; Chordata; Mammalia; Primates; Hominidae
Exons: 3
Source: RefSeq, a predicted model, not a curated record